GCGUCGGUAGUGCAACGGUUUAGCGCGCGCUCCUUGAAAGAGUGAGGUCUCAGUUCGAAUCCCAGCUGAAGCA
This is a non-coding RNA of Parelaphostrongylus tenuis, 73 nucleotides long. The record is from the annotation of a GenBank genome assembly. NCBI's taxonomy places the organism in Eukaryota, Metazoa, Nematoda, Chromadorea, Rhabditida, Metastrongylidae.